Molecule: ribosomal RNA, 187 nt
Filed under: uncultured Glomeromycotina
Lineage: Eukaryota; Fungi; Glomeromycota
Description: partial 18S ribosomal RNA
Rfam family: Eukaryotic small subunit ribosomal RNA
Source: RNAcentral
UUGUAUUGCGUUGCUAGAGGUGAAAUUCUUGGAUUUACGCAAGACAAACUAUUGCGAAAGCAUUUGCCAAGGAUGUUUUCAUUAAUCAAGAACGAAGGUUAGGGGAUCGAAAACGAUCAGAUACCGUUGUAGUCUUAACAGUAAACUAUGCCGACUAGGGAUCGGACGACAUCAAUAUUAUGCGUCA